GACAGAGGGUGCAAACGUUGUUCGGAAUUACUGGGCGUAAAGCGCGUGUAGGCGGCCAUCUAAGUCGGGCGUGAAAUCCCACGGCUCAACCGUGGAAGUGCACUCGAAACUGGAUGGCUAGAGUCCUGGAGAGGAAGGUGGAAUGCUUGGUGUAGAGGUGAAAUUCGUAGAUAUCAAGCGGAACACCGGUGGCGAAGGCGGCCUCUGGGACAGUGAC
This 217-nucleotide ribosomal RNA is filed under the name uncultured bacterium. RNAcentral's name for it is "partial 16S ribosomal RNA". It matches the Rfam family "Bacterial small subunit ribosomal RNA", at positions 524 to 740 of the family's 1533-position model. The record is from RNAcentral.